UCAAGCUAGAAAGAGCAUACGGCGGAUGCCUAGGUGCUCAGGGCCGACGAAGGACGUGGUAAGCUGCGAAAAGCUACGGGUAGCCGCAAGCAGGCGUAGAUCCGUAGAUCUCCGAAUGGGGCAACCCGGCGGGGGCGAACCCCCGUCACCGCAUACUGAACCCAUAGGUAUGCGGGGGGCACCCGGCGAACUGAAACAUCUUAGUAGCCGGAGGAAGAGAAAGAAAAAUCGAACCCCCCAGUAGCGGCGAGCGAAAAGGGGCGAGCCUAAACCAGUACUCUUCGGAGUACUGGGGUUGCGGGACUCUCGUAUAAGCAGUUGAGGACUUAGUCGAAGCGGUCUGGAAAGGCCCGCCACAGAAAGUAAAAGCCUUGUAGGCGAAAAGUCUGAGACGCAGGAGAGGAUCCCAAGUACCACGGGACACGUGGAACCCCGUGGGAAUCCGGGGGGACCACCCCCCAAGGCUAAAUACCCUGGGCGACCGAUAGUGAACAAGUACCGUGAGGGAAAGGUGAAAAGCACCCCGGGAGGGGAGUGAAAGAGGACCUGAAACCGUAUGCUUACAAGCAGUCAGAGCACGAUAGAUGUGUGAUGGCGUACUUUUUGUAGAACGGACCGGCGAGUUACAUCCAGCGGGCGAGGUUAAGCGGGAGACGCGGAGCCGAAGCGAAAGCGAGUCUUAAAAGGGCGCAAGUCCGUUGGAGUAGACCCGAAACCGGGUGAUCUACCCAUGUCCAGAGUGAAGCUUUAGUAAAAUAGAGUGGAGGCUCGAACCGACCGUCGUUGAAAAGGCGGCGGAUGAGGUGUGGGUAGGGGUGAAAUGCCAAUCGAACCCGGAAAUAGCUGGUUCUCCCCGAAAUAGCUUUAGGGCUAGCCUUGGGAAUGAAUACCGGAGGUAGAGCACUGAAUGGGCUAGGGGUCUUCACCGAUUACCGAACCCAAUCAAACUCCGAAUGCCGGAUAUUCGGAUCCCAGGAGUCAGACUAUGGGUGCUAAGAUUCAUAGUCGAGAGGGAAACAGCCCAGACCGCCGGCUAAGGUCCCCAAGACAGGCUAAGUGGAGAAGGAUGUGGAGUUGCCCGGACAACCAGGAUGUUGGCUUAGAAGCAGCCAUCAUUUAAAGAGUGCGUAAUAGCUCACUGGUCAAGUGGCUCUGCGCCGAAAAUGUAACGGGGCUAAGCCUGUCACCGAAGCCGCGGAUUUUGGUGGUUGGUCGUUAGUGGUUAGUGGUUGGGGGGAAAGGAAAUGGCAGGAUAUAAGACACUGGAAGUAUAUCAAAGAGCAUAUAAAAUGUCUUUAGAAAUACACCGUGUCACACAAACCUUUCCCAAUUAUGAGAGGCAUGAGUUAGGAAGUCAGAUAAGAAGAUCGGCUGUAUCAGUUGCACUAAAUAUAGCAGAAGGUUAUGGAAGAAAAGACGCAAGAGCCGAAUUCCGACAUUUCCUAAGAACUGCCUUGGGUUCAUGCAAUGAAACCUUAGUAUUGCUAGAGAUAUCAAAAGACCUUGGGUAUCUGACCGAAGAGCAGUACCAAGAGUACAGCCAGGAAUACACAAUCAUAGGCAAGCAAAUCUAUCGACUAAGGGAAGCAUGGACAAAACCCCAACGACCAAUUACUAACGACUAACCACCAAGAUGGUAGGGGAGCGUUGUAUGCGCGCAGAAGCAGUACCGUAAGGAGCUGUGGAGCGCAUACAAGUGAGAAUGCCGGUAUAAGUAAACGCAAAGGCAGGUGAGAAUCCUGCCCGCCGAAAACCUAAGGUUUUCUGGGGAAGGGUCGUCCGCCCAGAGUAAGCCGGGACCUAAGCCGAGGCGAAAAGCGUAGGUGAUGGAGAAUCGGUUGAGAAUCCGAUGCCACUUACAGCCGUUUGAAGGAUGGGGUGACACAGGAGGGUAGGCUAAGCGCGCGGAUGGAAAGGCGCGUCCAAGGUGGUAGGGUGAGAGAUAGGCAAAACCGUCUCUCGAAGAGCCUGAGAACUGAAGGGGAGCGAAAUUAAGUAGCGAAGUAGCCGAACCCAAACUGUCAAGAAAAACCUCUAACGAGGCUAGUAAGUGCCCGUACCGUAAACCGACACAGGUAGGUGGGGUGAGAAUCCUAAGGCGCGCGAGAGAACCCUCGUUAAGGAACUCGGCAAAAUAACCCCGUAACUUCGGGAGAAGGGGUACCCCGGUAGCGUGAAGGGUGAACACUUGGAGCGUGAGGGGGUCGCAGAGAAAAGGCCCAAGCGACUGUUUAGCAAAAACACAGGUCCCUGCUAAAUCGAAAGAUGACGUAUAGGGGCUGACGCCUGCCCGGUGCUGGAAGGUUAAGGGGAGGGGUUAGGGGAGACCCGAAGCUCUGAACCGAAGCCCCAGUAAACGGCGGCCGUAACUAUAACGGUCCUAAGGUAGCGAAAUUCCUUGUCGGGUAAGUUCCG
RNAcentral lists this ribosomal RNA (2415 nucleotides) under activated sludge metagenome. Its description in RNAcentral is "bacterial LSU rRNA". It matches the Rfam family "Bacterial large subunit ribosomal RNA", at positions 3 to 1985 of the family's 2925-position model. The record is from RNAcentral.